GAUGAACGCUGGCGGCGUGCCUAAUACAUGCAAGUCGAGCGAACAGAUGAGGAGCUUGCUCCUCUGACGUUAGCGGCGGACGGGUGAGUAACACGUGGAUAACCUACCUAUAAGACUGGGAUAACUUCGGGAAACCGGAGCUAAUACCGGAUAAUAUAUUGAACCGCAUGGUUCAAUAGUGAAAGACGGUUUUGCUGUCACUUAUAGAUGGAUCCGCGCCGCAUUAGCUAGUUGGUAAGGUAACGGCCUAGCAAGGCAACGAUGCGUAGACGACCUGAGGGGGGGAUAGGCCACACUGGAACUGAGACACGCACCAGACUCCUACGAGAGGCAGCAGUAGGGAAUCUUCCGCAAUGGGCGAGAGCCUGACGGAGCAACGCCGCGUGAGUGAUGAAGGUCUUCGGUUCGUAAAACUCUGUUAUUAGGGAAGAACAAAUGUGUAAGUAACUAUGCACGUCUUGACGGUACCUAAUCAGAAAGCCACGGCUAACUACGUG
Molecule: ribosomal RNA, 497 nt
Filed under: uncultured bacterium
Lineage: Bacteria
Description: partial 16S ribosomal RNA
Rfam family: Bacterial small subunit ribosomal RNA
Source: RNAcentral